GUGACGGGCAACGACUAUAUAGGUGUUGUAGAGGAGACAUUGGCGCAUCGUUUAAGAAAAUGUCCAGAGUGGUUUAUGUUCGAAAAUCUGAAGUUACGGUUAAAAAAACUGAAAAUUUUAUUGUGAAAUUGACAAAAUGAGAUUAAGGGGGUAGGGCACUAAAAGAAAAAUUUGGAUCAUUUUAAAGAGAUUGUGACGGACAACGACUAUAUAGGUGUUGUAGAGGAGACAAUGGCGCAUCGUUUAAGAAAAUCUCCAGAGUGGUUUAUAUUCGAAAAUCUGAACUUACGGUUAAAAACUGAAAUUGUGAAAUUGACAAAAUGAGAUUAGGGGGUAGGCCAAUUUAAGUUAAUUUUGGACCAAUUUCAAGAGAUUUUGACGGGCAACGACUAUAUAGGUGUUGUAGAGGAGACAAUGGCGCAUCGUUUAAGAAAAUCUCCAGAG
Mytilus californianus (California mussel) is the source of this 444-nucleotide long non-coding RNA. RefSeq lists it as uncharacterized. The transcript has 3 exons. NCBI's taxonomy places the organism in Eukaryota, Metazoa, Mollusca, Bivalvia, Mytilida, Mytilidae. The record is from RefSeq and is a predicted model, not a curated record.